GAUGAAGAACGUAGUGAAAUGCGAUAAGUAAUGUGAAUUGCAGAAUUCAGUGAAUCAUCGAAUCUUUGAACGCAACUUGCGCCUUUUGGUAUUCCGAAAGGCAUGCCUGUUUGAGUGUCAUAUAAACCUCACCUCUACUGUUUUUCAUUAGACAUGUGGACUGGUGCUUUGGGCGUCUGCCGUUUACUCUGGCUCGCCUUAAAUGUCUAAGUGGAAUGCGUAAUAAGUCUUCGCAACCCUCCACUCUAAUACAAACUUUUAUAUUCUGACCUCAAAUCAGGUAGGACUACCCGCUGAACUUAAGCAUAUCAAUAAGCGGAGGA
Molecule: unclassified non-coding RNA, 323 nt
Filed under: soil metagenome
Description: partial contains 5.8S ribosomal RNA, internal transcribed spacer 2, and large subunit ribosomal RNA
Rfam family: 5.8S ribosomal RNA (bases 1-120)
Source: RNAcentral